Molecule: ribosomal RNA, 1306 nt
Filed under: uncultured Helicobacter sp.
Lineage: Bacteria; Pseudomonadati; Campylobacterota; Epsilonproteobacteria; Campylobacterales; Helicobacteraceae
Description: 16S ribosomal RNA
Rfam family: Bacterial small subunit ribosomal RNA
Source: RNAcentral
CGGGUGAGUAACGCAUAGGUUAUGUGCCUCUUAGUUUGGGAUAGCCAUUGGAAACGAUGAUUAAUACCAGAUACUCCCUACGGGGGAAAGAUUUAUCGCUAAGAGAUCAGCCUAUGUCCUAUCAGCUUGUUGGUAAGGUAAUGGCUUACCAAGGCUAUGACGGGUAUCCGGCCUGAGAGGGUGAACGGACACACUGGAACUGAGACACGGUCCAGACUCCUACGGGAGGCAGCAGUAGGGAAUAUUGCUCAAUGGGGGAAACCCUGAAGCAGCAACGCCGCGUGGAGGAUGAAGGUUUUAGGAUUGUAAACUCCUUUUGUUAGAGAAGAUAAUGACGGUAUCUAACGAAUAAGCACCGGCUAACUCCGUGCCAGCAGCCGCGGUAAUACGGAGGGUGCAAGCGUUACUCGGAAUCACUGGGCGUAAAGAGCGCGUAGGCGGGAUAGUCAGUCAGGUGUGAAAUCCUAUGGCUUAACCAUAGAACUGCAUUUGAAACUACUAUUCUAGAGUGUGGGAGAGGUAGGUGGAAUUCUUGGUGUAGGGGUAAAAUCCGUAGAGAUCAAGAGGAAUACUCAUUGCGAAGGCGACCUGCUGGAACAUUACUGACGCUGAUUGCGCGAAAGCGUGGGGAGCAAACAGGAUUAGAUACCCUGGUAGUCCACGCCCUAAACGAUGGAUGCUAGUUGUUGGAGGGCUUAGUCUCUCCAGUAAUGCAGCUAACGCAUUAAGCAUCCCGCCUGGGGAGUACGGUCGCAAGAUUAAAACUCAAAGGAAUAGACGGGGACCCGCACAAGCGGUGGAGCAUGUGGUUUAAUUCGAAGAUACACGAAGAACCUUACCUAGGCUUGACAUUGAGAGAAUCCGCUAGAAAUAGUGGAGUGUCUAGCUUGCUAGACCUUGAAAACAGGUGCUGCACGGCUGUCGUCAGCUCGUGUCGUGAGAUGUUGGGUUAAGUCCCGCAACGAGCGCAACCCCCUUUCUUAGUUGCUAACAGGUCAUGCUGAGAACUCUAAGGAUACUGCCUCCGUAAGGAGGAGGAAGGUGGGGACGACGUCAAGUCAUCAUGGCCCUUACGCCUAGGGCUACACACGUGCUACAAUGGGGUGCACAAAGAGAAGCAAUACUGCGAAGUGGAGCCAAUCUUCAAAACGCCUCUCAGUUCGGAUUGUAGGCUGCAACUCGCCUGCAUGAAGCUGGAAUCGCUAGUAAUCGCAAAUCAGCCAUGUUCGGUGAAUACGUUCCCGGGCCUUGUACACACCGCCCGUCACACCAUGGGAGUGGGUUGCACAAGAAGUAGGUAGCUUAA